RNAcentral lists this transfer RNA (73 nucleotides) under Apophlaea sinclairii. Its description in RNAcentral is "tRNA-Arg". It matches the Rfam family "tRNA". From Rfam's summary of the family: Transfer RNA (tRNA) molecules are approximately 80 nucleotides in length. The record is from RNAcentral. Lineage: Eukaryota; Rhodophyta; Florideophyceae; Hildenbrandiales; Hildenbrandiaceae.
AGAUAUAUAGCUUAAUGGAUAAAGCAUCAGAUUCCGAUUCUGAUAGAUAAAGGUUCAAAUCCUUUUAUAUCUA